This 296-nucleotide ribosomal RNA is filed under the name uncultured bacterium. Its description in RNAcentral is "partial 16S ribosomal RNA". It matches the Rfam family "Bacterial small subunit ribosomal RNA", at positions 337 to 634 of the family's 1533-position model. The record is from RNAcentral.
UCCUACGGGGGGCAGCAGUGGGGAAUAUUGCACAAUGGGGGAAACCCUGAUGCAGCGACGCCGCGUGAGUGAAGAAGUAUUUCGGUAUGUAAAGCUCUAUCAGCAGGGAAGAAACCCACCCUUUGGGGUGGCUGACGGUACCUGACUAAGAAGCCCCGGCUAACUACGUGCCAGCAGCCGCGGUAAUACGGAGGAUGCGAGCGUUAUCCGGAUUUAUUGGGUUUAAAGGGUACGCAGGCGGACCAUCAAGUCAGCGGUAAAAUCGUGGGGCCCAACCCCAUCCCGCCGUUGAAACU